GAGUUUGAUCGUGGCUCAGAUUGAACGCUGGCGGCAUGCCUUACACAUGCAAGUCGAACGGCAGCAUGAUCUAGCUUGCUAGAUUGAUGGCGAGUGGCGAACGGGUGAGUAAUACAUCGGAACGUGCCCUGUAGUGGGGGAUAACUAGUCGAAAGAUUAGCUAAUACCGCAUACGACCUGAGGGUGAAAGUGGGGGACCGCAAGGCCUCAUGCUAUAGGAGCGGCCGAUGUCUGAUUAGCUAGUUGGUGGGGUAAGGGCCCACCAAGGCGACGAUCAGUAGCUGGUCUGAGAGGACGAUCAGCCACACUGGGACUGAGACACGGCCCAGACUCCUACGGGAGGCAGCAGUGGGGAAUUUUGGACAAUGGGCGAAAGCCUGAUCCAGCAAUGCCGCGUGUGUG
RNAcentral lists this ribosomal RNA (402 nucleotides) under uncultured microorganism. RNAcentral's name for it is "bacterial SSU rRNA". It matches the Rfam family "Bacterial small subunit ribosomal RNA", at positions 9 to 407 of the family's 1533-position model. The record is from RNAcentral.